Molecule: non-coding RNA, 134 nt
Filed under: uncultured Micromonas
Lineage: Eukaryota; Viridiplantae; Chlorophyta; Mamiellophyceae; Mamiellales
Source: RNAcentral
GACUCAGAGGCACUUGAAAUUGCUAAAACCGGAAAAUCGAUUAAUUGUUUUAAUAAUGAUAUGAUAUCAUACAAUCAAUAAUAAAUAUGAUAUUAUUAAUAAUACGAUGUAAAAAUAUGUAAAAUAAAUAAAGU